This 468-nucleotide ribosomal RNA is filed under the name uncultured bacterium. RNAcentral describes it as "partial 16S ribosomal RNA". It matches the Rfam family "Bacterial small subunit ribosomal RNA", at positions 28 to 507 of the family's 1533-position model. The record is from RNAcentral.
GACGAACGCUGGCGGCGUGCUUAACACAUGCAAGUCGAACGGAAAGGCCCUGCUUUUGUGGGGUGCUCGAGUGGCGAACGGGUGAGUAACACGUGAGUAACCUGCCCUUGACUUUGGGAUAACUUCAGGAAACUGGGGCUAAUACCGGAUAGGAGCUCCUGCUGCAUGGUGGGGGUUGGAAAGUUUCGGCGGUUGGGGAUGGACUCGCGGCUUAUCAGCUUGUUGGUGGGGUAGUGGCUUACCAAGGCGUUGACGGGUAGCCGGCCUGAGAGGGUGACCGGCCACAUUGGGACUGAGAUACGGCCCAGACUCCUACGGGAGGCAGCAGUGGGGAAUAUUGCACAAUGGGCGGAAGCCUGAUGCAGCAACGCCGCGUGCGGGAUGACGGCCGUCGGGUUGUAAACCGCUUUCGCCUGUGACGAAGCGUGAGUGACGGUAAUGGGUAAAGAAGCACCGGCUAACUACGUG